RNAcentral lists this ribosomal RNA (495 nucleotides) under uncultured bacterium. RNAcentral's name for it is "partial 16S ribosomal RNA". The record is from RNAcentral.
ACGGCUACCUUGUUACGACUUCACCCUAAUUACCAGUCCUACCUUCGGCCGCGCCCUCCUUGCGGUUAGGCUACGGACUUCGGGUAUUACCGGCUCUCAUGGUGUGACGGGCGGUGUGUACAAGGCCCGGGAACGUAUUCACCGCGGCAUGCUGAUCCGCGAUUACUAGCAAUUCCGACUUCAUGCAGGCGGGUUGCAGCCUGCAAUCUGAACUGAGACAGCUUUUAGGGGUUUGCUCCGCAUCGCUGCUUUGCUUCCCUCUGUAUGACUGCCAUUGUAGUACGUGUGUAGCCCAGGUCAUAAGGGGCAUGAUGAUUUGACGUCGUCCCCACCUUCCUCCGUUUUGUCAACGGCAGUCCGGCUAGAGUGAUCAACCUAAUGUAUCAACUAACCGUAAGGGUUGCGCUCGUUGCGGGACUUAACCCAACAUCUCACGACACGAGCUGACGACAACCAUGCACCACCUGUCUCCAAUGCCCCGAAAGGAAACCCUGU